AUUACUUCUUGGCCUUUUGGCUUAGAUCAAAUGUAGCAUCAGUUUAAUGUGUGUUGUGCUCCUGGGAUGGAGUCUGUGGUGUAAGAUACCCUAUUCUUUAUCCUUUUCUUUUGGUUGGUUUGUUUUUUAAGAAAACCUUUCUGUUUUUGUCACUAACAUACUCAAAAAGGAAAUAUCA
This 178-nucleotide small nuclear RNA is filed under the name Chelydra serpentina (North American snapping turtle). RNAcentral describes it as "U2 spliceosomal RNA (ENSCSRG00000019216.1)". It matches the Rfam family "U2 spliceosomal RNA". Rfam says of the family: U2 is a small nuclear RNA (snRNA) component of the spliceosome (involved in pre-mRNA splicing). Lineage: Eukaryota; Metazoa; Chordata; Testudines; Chelydridae. The record is from Rfam by way of RNAcentral.